GCUUUACUGUAACUUGGAAUUGAGUUUGGGCUCUUCUUGCGCAGUAUAGGUGGGAGGCUAAGAAAAUAUGCUUGCGGGCAUAUUUGAGCCAUCAUUGAGAUACCACUCUGGAAGGGUUGGAACUCUAACUUUGAGCCGUAAGCCGGCCAAAAGACAGUUUCUGGUGGGCAGUUUGACUGGGGCGGUCGCCUCCUAAAAGGUAACGGAGGCGCGCCAAGGUUCCCUCAGGCUGGUUGGAAAUCAGCCAGAGAGUGUAAAGGCACAAGGGAGCUUGACUGCAAGAGCUACACCUCGAGCAGGGACGAAAGUCGGCCUUAGUGAUCCGACGGCACUGAGUGGAAGGGCCGUCGCUCAACGGAUAAAAGUUA
RNAcentral lists this ribosomal RNA (368 nucleotides) under uncultured alga. Its description in RNAcentral is "bacterial LSU rRNA". It matches the Rfam family "Bacterial large subunit ribosomal RNA", at positions 2098 to 2465 of the family's 2925-position model. The record is from RNAcentral.